AUGGAUAAUACAAUAGCAUGGAAGAAUAAAAAUUAUAGAUACGUUGGAGACGUAUCAGGCGCCGCCAUCGCCAGCAUGCUGGGGUCCGACCGCCUUGUCUACGCCACGCCUAUAGAGAACCUGCGCGCCGCCCAGGCGGCGGCAGACGAGCUGGAUCACAUGGAGGGUGACGAGCGUCGCUGCAUGAUGGAGCGCGUCCAGCAGCUCCUCGAUGUGGCUGUCGUGCAGCAAGAAGCCGGCCACCGUGUGGUAGAACCCGACCUGCACGCCGAGAACCUUCCACCCCCCUCCCCCGUGAACACGGUGCGACCUCCUGGUCCCCGGAAGGCGGCGCCCGCAACUGAAGAGACCAAGAGCCGGCUGCUAGUCGCGGCCGCACACGCAUCACCAUCGACCGUGACCAAGACGGCCGCCCACGAGCAGUGGAACGGCGGAGCGAUCGUCCGCCUCCCCCGCGCAGGGAGAGGCGCGCCUCCCCACCGCCUGUUGAGCAUCUGA
Molecule: ribosomal RNA, 498 nt
Filed under: Triticum aestivum (bread wheat)
Lineage: Eukaryota; Viridiplantae; Streptophyta; Magnoliopsida; Poales; Poaceae
Description: partial small subunit ribosomal RNA
Source: RNAcentral